GACGAACGCUGGCGGCGUGCUUAACACAUGCAAGUCGAACGAAGAGCGAUGAAGCUUGCUUCUAUCAAUCUUAGUGGCGAACGGGUGAGUAACGCGUAAUCAACCUGCCCUUCAGAGGGGGACAACAGUUGGAAACGACUGCUAAUACCGCAUACGAUCUAACCUUGGCAUCGAGGAUGGAUGAAAGGUGGCCUCUAUUUAUAAGCUAUCACUGAAGGAGGGGAUUGCGUCUGAUUAGCUAGUUGGAGGGGUAACGGCCCACCAAGGCGAUGAUCAGUAGCCGGUCUGAGAGGAUGAACGGCCACAUUGGGACUGAGACACGGCCCAGACUCCUACGGGAGGCAGCAGUGGGGAAUCUUCCGCAAUGGACGAAAGUCUGACGGAGCAACGCCGCGUGAGUGAUGACGGCCUUCGGGUUGUAAAGCUCUGUUAAUCGGGACGAAAGGCCUUCUUGCGAAUAGUUAGAAGGAUUGACGGUACCGGAAUAGAAAGCCACGG
Molecule: ribosomal RNA, 498 nt
Filed under: Veillonella dispar
Lineage: Bacteria; Bacillati; Bacillota; Negativicutes; Veillonellales; Veillonellaceae
Description: bacterial SSU rRNA
Rfam family: Bacterial small subunit ribosomal RNA
Source: RNAcentral